CACGUAGGGGGCGAGCGUUGUUCGGAAUCAUUGGGCGUAAAGGGCGCGCAGGCGGCCGCGUAAGUCUGGUGUAAAAUGGUUGUGCUCAACACAAUCAUGCGCUGGAAACUGCGGGGCUUGAGUCAACGAGGGGAUGCCGGAAUUCCAGGUGUAGGGGUGAAAUCUGUAGAUAUCUGGAAGAACACCAGUGGCGAAGGCAGGCAUCUGGCGACUGACUGACGCUGAGGCGCGAAGGUGCGGGGAGCAAACA
This 250-nucleotide ribosomal RNA is filed under the name uncultured prokaryote. RNAcentral describes it as "partial 16S ribosomal RNA". It matches the Rfam family "Bacterial small subunit ribosomal RNA", at positions 524 to 774 of the family's 1533-position model. The record is from RNAcentral.